This 468-nucleotide ribosomal RNA is filed under the name uncultured bacterium. Its description in RNAcentral is "partial 16S ribosomal RNA". It matches the Rfam family "Bacterial small subunit ribosomal RNA", at positions 28 to 507 of the family's 1533-position model. The record is from RNAcentral.
GACGAACGCUGGCGGCGUGCUUAACACAUGCAAGUCGAACGGAAAGGCCCUGCUUUUGUGGGGUGCCCGAGUGGCGAACGGGUGUGUAACACGGGAGUAACCCUCCCUUGACUUUGGGAUAACUUCAGGAAACUGGGGAUAAUACCGGAGAGGAGCUCCUGCUGCAUGGUGGGGGUCGGACAGUUUCGGCGGUGGGGGGUGGACUCGCGGGUUAUCAGCUUGUUGGUGGGGUAGUGGCUUACCAAGGCAUUGGAGGGUAGCCGGCAUGGGAGGGUGACCGGCGACCAUGGGACUGAGAGACGGAGCAGACGCCUACGGGAGGCAGCAGGCGAGAAUAUUGCCCAAUGGGCCGAAGUCUGAUGCAGCAACGUUGGGUGCGGGAUGACGGCCUUGUGGGUGUAAACCGCUGUCGGUUGAGACGAAGCUUGAUUGACGGUAAUGGGUAAAGAAGCACCGGCUAACUACGUG